GACGAACGCUGGCGGUGUGCUUAACACAUGCAAGUCGAACGGAAAGGCCCUGCUUUUGUGGGGUGCUCGAGUGGCGAACGGGUGAGUAACACGUGAGUAACCUGCCCUUGACUUUGGGAUAACUUCAGGAAACUGGGGCUAAUACCGGAUAGGAGCUCCUGCUGCAUGGUGGGGGUUGGAAAGUUUCGGCGGUUGGGGAUGGACUCGCGGCUUAUCAGCUUGUUGGUGGGGUAGUGGCUUACCAAGGCUUUGACGGGUAGCCGGCCUGAGAGGGUGACCGGCCACAUUGGGACUGAGAUACGGCCCAGACUCCUACGGGAGGCAGCAGUGGGGAAUAUUGCACAAUGGGCGGAAGCCUGAUGCAGCAACGCCGCGUGCGGGAUGGCGGCCUUCGGGUUGUAAACCGCUUUCGCCUGUGACGAAGCGUGAGUGACGGUAAUGGGUAAAGAAGCACCGGCUAACUACGUG
RNAcentral lists this ribosomal RNA (468 nucleotides) under uncultured bacterium. RNAcentral's name for it is "partial 16S ribosomal RNA". It matches the Rfam family "Bacterial small subunit ribosomal RNA", at positions 28 to 507 of the family's 1533-position model. The record is from RNAcentral.